Molecule: ribosomal RNA, 249 nt
Filed under: uncultured bacterium
Lineage: Bacteria
Description: partial 16S ribosomal RNA
Rfam family: Bacterial small subunit ribosomal RNA
Source: RNAcentral
GCAAGUCGAACGGAGUUAUUGGAGCUUGCUCUUAGAACUUAGUGGCAACGGGUGAGUAAUGCAUAAGUAACGCACCCCACAAACUGGGAUAACAUACCGAAAGGGAUGCUAAUACCGGAUAUAUGUAUUUAUUGCAUGAUAGAUACAGGAAAGAUUUAUUGUUGUGGGAGCGGCUUAUGUCUGAUUAGUUAGUUGGUAGGGUAAAGGCCUACCAAGGCGAUGAUCAGUAGCUGGUCUGAGAGGAUGGUC